Long non-coding RNA from Lolium perenne, 983 nucleotides. RefSeq lists it as uncharacterized. The record is from RefSeq and is a predicted model, not a curated record. NCBI's taxonomy places the organism in Eukaryota, Viridiplantae, Streptophyta, Magnoliopsida, Poales, Poaceae.
UCCGGUGGUACCGGUUUUGGCUGGUCGUGGGUGAUUUUGGCCCAUCGUGUGUAUUCUCUCCUCCUCGCCAGCAGCGGCGGUCAAAGCGGUGCGGAUGACCAUGGAGCAAUCCAGGCUCUUCCCAAUCCCAUCUCCCCCGUCCCCAAUCUCCAUCGCCGGCUUCUCUCUUCCUCCCCAAUCCCCACCCCUGUUGUCCACACCUUCCACCUAGGGUCUACCCCCUCCUCUCCCUCCGUGGCAACCAUGAACAUGCGGAGGCGUCCACGGUGCGCUCAGGCCGAGCUCCUCUGUGGCUGGUGGCAUUACCGUCACUUGCCGCUACAACUCCUCACUACGUCUCCGGUUGGUCCGUCGCACGACGGCCAGGAGCGUCUGCCACGGCAGUACGUACGUUUUGGCUGUGGCCAACAAGGGAGAUGUGGGUGAGGCACUCGGAAAUCUUUCCGAUGGCUACGAGAACGAAGGAGGGCGGCGCUCGGAGGAUCCUCUGGCGGCGAUCAGGGUCGACGGCCGCCAUGACUUUGAUGGGUCGGCUUUGGGUCAACGACCGCGCCGGAAAGCCCGCACCUCUCCGCCUCCAUCCGACCACGACGCCGUCGAGGAAGGCACUGUGGCACACCGUCCCUCUCUCCAUCUGACGCUCUCCUUCCCAUGUCUUAUUUUCUCCCAUGUGCAUAUCCUUUUUUUGGGCCUCUAUGAGGAUGGACAGGUUGGGUUGCCUGCCCCCGGUUAGGGAUUGGAGGUAACUGUCAGGGUGAAGUAGAGGGUAAGAACAGAGAGGUCCUCUUGGGCCCUGAAUCUCAUGGUGUUGGUUGUCUUCGGCCAGAUUGGAGGCUGCAGGCAGGCUGAACAGCAGCAGAUAACCCCUGCCAAAGAGGAAGAGCAGAUGUAGAUACCGGUCACAUGGCUGUAGAUGCUGAUCAAGAAUCAAAUUGGCUGUAUUUUUGGUUAACUUGAUGAGCUAUUAGCACUAAGAACAUAAA